This 253-nucleotide ribosomal RNA is filed under the name uncultured bacterium. RNAcentral describes it as "partial 16S ribosomal RNA". It matches the Rfam family "Bacterial small subunit ribosomal RNA", at positions 524 to 776 of the family's 1533-position model. The record is from RNAcentral.
UACAGAGGUCUCAAGCGUUGUUCGGAUUCAUUGGGCGUAAAGGGUGCGUAGGCUGCGCGGAAAGUUGGGUGUGAAAUCCCUCGGCUCAACCGAGGAACUGCGCCCAAAACUACCGUGCUCGAGGAAGAUAGAGGUAAGCGGAACUUACGGUGGAGCGGUGAAAUGCGUUGAUAUCGUAAGGAACACCUGUGGCGAAAGCGGCUUACUGGGUCUUUUCUGACGCUGAUGCACGAAAGCUAGGGGAGCAAACGGG